Molecule: ribosomal RNA, 1017 nt
Filed under: uncultured bacterium
Lineage: Bacteria
Description: bacterial SSU rRNA
Rfam family: Bacterial small subunit ribosomal RNA
Source: RNAcentral
AGAGUUUGAUCCUGGCUCAGAAUCAACGCUGGCGGCGCGCUUAACACAUGCAAGUCGCACGAGAAAGUGGAGCAAUCCAUGAGUAAAGUGGCGUACGGGUGAGUAACACGUGGGUAAUCUACCUCUUAGUGGGGAAUAACUCUGGGAAACCGGAGCUAAUACCGCAUAAGCCUGGAAAGGGAAAGCAGCAAUGCGCUGAGAGAGGAGCCCGCGGCCGAUUAGCUAGUUGGUAGGGUAAAGGCCUACCAAGGCAAUGAUCGGUAGCCGGCCUGAGAGGGCACACGGCCACACUGGCACUGAAACACGGGCCAGACUCCUACGGGAGGCAGCAGUGGGGAAUCUUGCACAAUGGGGGAAACCCUGAUGCAGCGACGCCGCGUGAGCGAUGAAGCCCUUCGGGGUGUAAAGCUCUUUCGGCAGGAACGAUAAUGACGGUACCUGAAGAAGAAGCUGCGGCUAACUACGUGCCAGCAGCCGCGGUAAUACGUAGGCAGCAAGCGUUGUUCGGAGUUACUGGGCGUAAAGAGUGUGUAGGCUGUUCUCUAAGUUUGGUGUGAAAUUUCCCGGCUCAACUGGGAGGGUGCGCCGAAAACUGGAGGGCUCGAGUAUGGGAGAGGAAAGCGGAAUUCCUGGUGUAGCGGUGAAAUGCGUAGAUAUCAGGAGGAACACCUGCGGUGUAGACAGCUUUCUGGACCAUCACUGACGCUGAGACACGAAAGCGUGGGUAGCAAACAGGAUUAGAUACCCCGGUAGUCCACGCCCUAAACGAUGCAUACUUGGUGUGAGCCGUUCAUUCGGUUCGUGCCGGAGCUAACGCGUUAAGUAUGCCGCCUGGGGAGUACGGUCGCAAGGCUGAAACUCAAAGGAAUUGACGGGGGCCCGCACAAGCGGUGGAGCAUGUGGUUUAAUUCGACGCAACGCGAAGAACCUUACCUGGGCUCGAACGGCUUUGGCAACUCCGUGGAAACAUGGGGCCUCCCGCAAGGACCGGAGUCGAGGUGCUGCAUGGCUGUCGUC